Molecule: unclassified non-coding RNA, 350 nt
Filed under: soil metagenome
Description: partial contains 5.8S ribosomal RNA, internal transcribed spacer 2, and large subunit ribosomal RNA
Rfam family: 5.8S ribosomal RNA (bases 2-120)
Source: RNAcentral
CAUGAAGAACGCAGCGAACUGCGAUAAGUAAUGUGAAUUGCAGAAUUCAGUGAAUCAUCGAGUCUUUGAACGCACAUUGCGCCCCCUGGCAUUCCGGGGGGCAUGCCUGUCCGAGCGUCAUUGCUGCCCUUCAAGCCCGGCUUGUGUGUUGGGUCGUCGUCCCCCCCGGGGGACGGGCCCGAAAGGCAGCGGCGGCACCGCGUCCGGUCCUCGAGCGUAUGGGGCUUUGUCACCCGCUCGAUUAGGGCCGGCCGGGCGCCAGCCGGCGUCUCCAACCUUCUAUUUUACCAGGUUGACCUCGGAUCAGGUAGGGAUACCCGCUGAACUUAAGCAUAUCAAUAAGCGGAGGA